CAGCAGCCGCGGUAAUACGAAGGGUGCAAGCGUUAAUCGGAAUUACUGGGCGUAAAGCGCGCGUAGGUGGUUUGGUAAGAUGGAUGUGAAAUCCCCGGGCUCAACCUGGGAACUGCAUCCAUAACUGCCUGACUAGAGUACGGUAGAGGGUGGUGGAAUUUCCUGUGUAGCGGUGAAAUGCGUAGAUAUAGGAAGGAACACCAGUGGCGAAGGCGACCACCUGGACUGAUACUGACACUGAGGUGCGAAAGCGUGGGGAGCAAACAGGAUUAGAUACCCCUGUAGUCCCUGUCUCUUAUAA
RNAcentral lists this ribosomal RNA (301 nucleotides) under uncultured bacterium. Its description in RNAcentral is "partial 16S ribosomal RNA". It matches the Rfam family "Bacterial small subunit ribosomal RNA", at positions 509 to 809 of the family's 1533-position model. The record is from RNAcentral.